CCUACGGGAGGCAGCAGUGGGGAAUUUUGGACAAUGGGGGCAACCCUGAUCCAGCAAUGCCGCGUGUGCGAAGAAGGCCUUCGGGUUGUAAAGCACUUUUGUCAGGGAAGAAAUCUUUUGGGCUAAUACCCCGGAAGGAUGACGGUACCUGAAGAAUAAGCACCGGCUAACUACGUGCCAGCAGCCGCGGUAAUACGUAGGGUGCAAGCGUUAAUCGGAAUUACUGGGCGUAAAGCGUGCGCAGGCGGUUCGCUAAGACAGUCGUGAAAUCCCCGGGCUUAACCUGGGAACUGCGAUUGUGACUGGCGAGCUAGAGUACGGCAGAGGGGGGUGGAAUUCCUGGUGUAGCAGUGAAAUGCGUAGAGAUCAGGAGGAACACCGAUGGCGAAGGCAGCCCCCUGGGCUAGUACUGACGCUCAUGCACGAAAGCGUGGGGAGCAAACAGGAUUAGAUACCCUGGUAGUCCACGCCCUAAACGAUGUCAAUUAGUUGUUGGUUCUUCAUUGAAUCAGUAACGAAGCUAACGCGUGAAAUUGACCGCCUGGGGAGUACGGUCGCAAGAUUAAAACUCAAAGGAAUUGACGG
This 585-nucleotide ribosomal RNA is filed under the name uncultured beta proteobacterium. RNAcentral's name for it is "bacterial SSU rRNA". It matches the Rfam family "Bacterial small subunit ribosomal RNA", at positions 338 to 916 of the family's 1533-position model. Lineage: Bacteria; Pseudomonadati; Pseudomonadota; Betaproteobacteria. The record is from RNAcentral.